This 434-nucleotide long non-coding RNA is filed under the name Olea europaea (common olive). RNAcentral's name for it is "long non-coding RNA (OEUR_LNC012727)". The record is from RNAcentral. Lineage: Eukaryota; Viridiplantae; Streptophyta; Magnoliopsida; Lamiales; Oleaceae.
UCAAAAUAGAAGAUCUGUCCACGUGUGUAAAGGUCAUGCAGCCUCUUUAUCUUUAUCCUUUCCUUAUCUGAUAUAAAACUCGUCAGAAUCCCAUAAGAAAUCACCAAUCAGAAUUUCAAACUAAUUUAUGGGAUCAGAAUUCUAAAUUAACUUAUGUGAUGUGCACAGAAAUUUAGAGUUCAAAUCUUAGCAAAAUUCCACUUCCCACGUGAUUACCCUACACCAUGGUUUAGUAUAAAUAUAGCACUAAACCUCAAGCAUUCAGUCAUUAAUUCAUCAUUCUUCUUCUACACGUCUUUAUUCUCUUCUCCUCUUUAAAAUAUUUCUCCAUAUUAUUAAGCCUUUUAAGGCCUUGGAAUCGCAAUAAAGAAUCACGUUUUCAGCAAUUUUAUUUUCCACGUUCAUCUUCAAAAGGUGAGAUGCUCAGUGCUAUU